RNAcentral lists this ribosomal RNA (63 nucleotides) under Massilia aquatica. RNAcentral's name for it is "partial 23S ribosomal RNA". The record is from RNAcentral. Lineage: Bacteria; Pseudomonadati; Pseudomonadota; Betaproteobacteria; Burkholderiales; Oxalobacteraceae.
GUAAUGCAUUAAGCUAACUGAUACUAAUUGCCCGUACGGCUUGUCCCUAUAACCUUAGCAGGU